Molecule: ribosomal RNA, 253 nt
Filed under: uncultured bacterium
Lineage: Bacteria
Description: partial 16S ribosomal RNA
Rfam family: Bacterial small subunit ribosomal RNA
Source: RNAcentral
UACGUAGGGUGCGAGCGUUAAUCGGAAUUACUGGGCGUAAAGCGUGCGCAGGCGGUUUUGUAAGUCAGAUGUGAAAUCCCCGGGCUUAACCUGGGAACUGCGUUUGAAACUACAAGGCUAGAGUGUAGCAGAGGGGGGUGGAAUUCCACGUGUAGCAGUGAAGUGCGUAGAGAUGUGGAGGAACACCGAUGGCGAAGGCGACUACCUGGCCUGUUCUUGACGCUGAGGCGCGAAAGCUAGGGGAGCAAACGGG